GCAGUCGACGGCAGCAUGAUCUAGCUUGCUAGAUUGAUGGCGAGUGGCGAACGGGUGAGUAAUACAUCGGAACGUGCCCUGUAGUGGGGGAUAACUAGUCGAAAGAUUAGCUAAUACCGCAUACGACCUGAGGGUGAAAGUGGGGGACCGCAAGGCCUCAUGCUAUAGGAGCGGCCGAUGUCUGAUUAGCUAGUUGGUGAGGUAAAGGCUCACCAAGGCGACGAUCAGUAGCUGGUCUGAGAGGACGAUCAGCCACACUGGGACUGAGACACGGCCCAGACUCCUACGGGAGGCAGCAGUGGGGAAUUUUGGACAAUGGGCGAAAGCCUGAUCCAGCAAUGCCGCGUGUGUGAAGAAGGCCUUCGGGUUGUAAAGCACUUUUGUCCNGAAAGAAAUGGCUCUGGUUAAUACCUGGGGUCGAUGACGGUGCCGGAGGAAUAAGGACCGGCUAACUACGUGCCAGCAGCCGCGGUAAUACGUAGGGUNCAAGCGUUAAUCGGAAUUACUGGGCGUAAAGCGUGCGCAGGCGGUUGUGCAAGACCGAUGUGAAAUCCCCGAGCUUAACUUGGGAAUUGCAUUGGUGACUGCACGGCUAGAGUGUGUCAGAGGGGGGUAGAAUUCCACGUGUAGCANUGAAAUGCGUAGAGAUGUGGAGGAAUACCGAUGGCGAANGCAGCCCCCUGGGAUAACACUGACGCUCAUGCACGAAAGCGUGGGGAGCAAACANGAUUAGAUACCCUGGUAGUCCACGCCCUAAACGAUGUCAACUAGUUGUUGGGGAUUCAUUUCCUUAGUAACGUAGCUAACGCGUGAAGUUGACCGCCUGGGGAGUACGGUCGCAAGAUUAAAACUCAAAGGAAUUGACGGGGACCCGCACAAGCGGUGGAUGAUGUGGAUUAAUUCGAUGCAACGCGAAAAACCUUACCUACCCUUGACAUGCCACUAACGAAGCAGAGAUGCAUUAGGUGCUCGAAAGAGAAAGUGGACACAGGUGCUGCAUGGCUGUCGUCAGCUCGUGUCGUGAGAUGUUGGGUUAAGUCCCGCAACGAGCGCAACCCUUGUCUCUAGUUGCUACGAAAGGGCACUCUAGAGAGACUGCCGGUGACAAACCGGAGGAAGGUGGGGAUGACGUCAAGUCCUCAUGGCCCUUAUGGGUAGGGCUUCACACGUCAUACAAUGGUGCAUACAGAGGGUUGCCAAGCCGCGAGGUGGAGCUAAUCCCAGAAAAUGCAUCGUAGUCCGGAUCGUAGUCUGCAACUCGACUACGUGAAGCUGGAAUCGCUAGUAAUCGC
RNAcentral lists this ribosomal RNA (1292 nucleotides) under uncultured Ralstonia sp. RNAcentral's name for it is "bacterial SSU rRNA". It matches the Rfam family "Bacterial small subunit ribosomal RNA", at positions 57 to 1345 of the family's 1533-position model. The record is from RNAcentral. Lineage: Bacteria; Pseudomonadati; Pseudomonadota; Betaproteobacteria; Burkholderiales; Burkholderiaceae.